AGAUUAAGUUAUUAAGGGCGCACGGUGGAUGCCUUGGCACUAGAAGCCGAUGAAGGACGUUACUAACGACGAUAUGCUUUGGGUAGCUGUAAGUAAGCGUUGAUCCAGAGAUUUCCGAAUGGGGGAACCCAGCAUGAGUUAUGUCAUGUUAUCGACAUGUGAAUUCAUAGCAUGUCAGAAGGCAGACCCGGAGAACUGAAACAUCUUAGUACCCGGAGGAAGAGAAAGAAAAAUCGAUUCCCUGAGUAGCGGCGAGCGAAACGGGAAGAGCCCAAACCAACAAGCUUGCUUGUUGGGGUUGUAGGACACUCUAUACGGAGUUACAAAAGAACAUGUUAGACGAAUCAUCUGGAAAGAUGAAUCAAAGAAGGUAAUAAUCCUGUAGUCGAAAACAUAUUCUCUCUUGAGUGGAUCCUGAGUACGACGGAGCACGUGAAAUUCCGUCGGAAUCUGGGAGAACCAUCUCCUAAGGCUAAAUACUCUCUAGUGACCGAUAGUGAACCAGUACCGUGAGGGAAAGGUGAAAAGUACCCCGGAAGGGGAGUGAAAGAGAACUUGAAACCGUGUGCUUACAAGUAGUCAGAGCCCGUUAAUGGG
This 597-nucleotide ribosomal RNA is filed under the name Staphylococcus epidermidis CIM28. RNAcentral's name for it is "bacterial LSU rRNA". It matches the Rfam family "Bacterial large subunit ribosomal RNA", at positions 1 to 593 of the family's 2925-position model. The record is from RNAcentral. Lineage: Bacteria; Bacillati; Bacillota; Bacilli; Caryophanales; Staphylococcaceae.